This is a non-coding RNA of Podarcis lilfordi (Lilford's wall lizard), 77 nucleotides long. The record is from the annotation of a GenBank genome assembly. NCBI's taxonomy places the organism in Eukaryota, Metazoa, Chordata, Lepidosauria, Squamata, Lacertidae.
GCACCAUUAAUAUCUCAGCUGGUAAGAGCAGGAGACUCUUAAUCUCAAGGUUGUGGAUUCGAGUCCCACGUUGGGCA